GUUGAACGCUGGCGGCAGGCCUAACACAUGCAAGUCGAACGGUAACAGGAAGACGCUUGCUUCUUUGCUGACGAGUGGCGGACGGGUGGGUCAUGUCUAGGAAACUGCCUGAUGGCGGGGGAUAACUACUGGAAACGGUAGCUAAUACCGCAUAACGUCGCAAGCCCAAAGAGGGGGACCUUCGGGCCUCUUGCCAUCGGCUGUGCCCCGAUGGGAUUAGCUAGUAGGUGGGGUAAAGGCUCACCUAGGCGACGAUCCGUAGCUGGUCUGAGAGGAUGACCAGCCACACUGGAACUGAGACACGGUCCAGACUCCUACGGGAGGCAGCAGUGGGGAAUAUUGCACAAUGGGCGCAAGCCUGAUGCAGCCAUGCCGCGUGUAUGAAGAAGGCCUUCGGGUUGUAAAGUACUUUCAGCGGGGAGGAAGGGAGUAAAGUUAAUACCUGUGCUCAUUGACGUUACCCGCAGAAGAAGCACCGGCUAACUCCGUG
RNAcentral lists this ribosomal RNA (490 nucleotides) under uncultured bacterium. RNAcentral's name for it is "partial 16S ribosomal RNA". It matches the Rfam family "Bacterial small subunit ribosomal RNA", at positions 28 to 507 of the family's 1533-position model. The record is from RNAcentral.